Cucurbita maxima (winter squash) is the source of this 1121-nucleotide RNA transcript. RefSeq lists it as uncharacterized. The record is from RefSeq and is a predicted model, not a curated record. Lineage: Eukaryota; Viridiplantae; Streptophyta; Magnoliopsida; Cucurbitales; Cucurbitaceae. The transcript has 3 exons.
AAUGUUUCAUUCCCUUCUCCAAUCGAGCGUGGGAUUUCACAAUCCACCCUCCUUGUGACCUAACAUACUCGUUGCACAGGGCCUGGUGUCUGACUUUGAUACCGUUUGUAACAGUCCAAGCCUAUCGUUUGUAACAGCACAGCGUGCUUUUGGGCUUCCACACUGACCCGUCAACUGACCCUACCCGCCUAGUGACCCGAAAGUCAACACCGGCCUGACCCGACCCAUAUAGCUGAUUCCGACUCACUACCCAAACCAGAUCCGAAGGACUUGAAGAUCUGGAAAGGAAUUAAAAAUUUGUUAAAGACCCUCCCUCAAGAUUUUAAAAUGCCUCUUCAUGCCUCUUCUAGAGAGAUGUUUUCACAAUGUUUCGUUUCCCCUCUCCAACAGAUGUGGGAUCUCACAAUAUCAUUCGGGUUUUUAUGCAAAAUCUGCACUCAAUUUUAGUGGACAUCUGAACGUCAUUUAUCAGUUUAGCAACUGCAAUCAAAUUAUGCAUUCCUUUUCUCCCCAUUUUCUUGGCCGCUCUUGUUUGUGUGCUUGUCUAUAAAACAAAACAAACAGAGUGCCAUUAUAUGGAUAUAACAGUACCUGGAAAGAAUGUUUCUGAGGAAGUGACUCGUGAGUCGCUUAUCGCCAUCUCUUACUCAGAACCAGAAUCAGCUCUCUCUUCAAAGCGACCAUCUGGAAAGCUCAAUAGCAAAAACCUCAAUCUGGUGGAAGGGAAAGAAUUUGAUGCAGAUGAGAAAUAUAGAUCUGAGCUGAUUGCUAUUUCCUUCCUCGAGUCGCCACCCGAAAUUGGAAGUGUACCCGUCGGCAAACUCAAAGGUUAGCACCUGGAUGUUCGUUAUCGUAAUUGUAUACACUCUUAUGUAGAAAUGAUGCUAAUCUAAGUGUGUUGUUGCAACCAUGGAGCAAUCGUGUCCAUGUUCUUUGGUUCUGUAACUUAGACCCUCCACUGGUUCUGUACUAUCUUUAUCUUUUGAAAACGUAUUGCCGUGUGAGCCCAAUGAAUGAACUUAUGAACCCUUGCUACUUAGCUUUAUUAUGGUGCCUUAAUGAUUGUAUAUAGCUUAUACAUUGUAUCUUAUAAUAGCUUGUAUAUGAAUCUUAGCGAGAUA